UGACGAGUUUGAUCCUGGCUCAGAUUGAACGCUGGCGGAAUGCUUUACACAUGCAAGUCGAACGGUAGAGGGGGCAACCCCUCGAGAGUGGCGAACGGGUGAGUAAUAUAUCGGAACGUGCCCAGUCGUGGGGGAUAACGUAGCGAAAGUCUACGACUAACUACCGCAUACGACCUGGAGGUGAAAGCGGGGGACUCGCAAGAGCCUCGCGCGAUUGGAGCGGCCGAUGCAGAUUA
This 236-nucleotide ribosomal RNA is filed under the name uncultured Burkholderiales bacterium. RNAcentral's name for it is "partial 16S ribosomal RNA". It matches the Rfam family "Bacterial small subunit ribosomal RNA", at positions 1 to 243 of the family's 1533-position model. Lineage: Bacteria; Pseudomonadati; Pseudomonadota; Betaproteobacteria; Burkholderiales. The record is from RNAcentral.